Molecule: ribosomal RNA, 838 nt
Filed under: Diplodia scrobiculata
Lineage: Eukaryota; Fungi; Ascomycota; Dothideomycetes; Botryosphaeriales; Botryosphaeriaceae
Also listed under: 1 other name
Description: eukaryotic LSU rRNA
Rfam family: Eukaryotic large subunit ribosomal RNA
Source: RNAcentral
CGGCGAGUGAAGCGGCAACAGCUCAAAUUUGAAAGCUGGCCCUUUCAGGGUCCGCAUUGUAAUUUGUAGAGGAUGAUUCGGCGAGGGCUCCCGCCUAAGUCCCCUGGAACGGGGCGUCAUAGAGGGUGAGAAUCCCGUAUGCGGUGGGCUGCCUUAGCCAUGUGAAUCUCCUUCGACGAGUCGAGUUGUUUGGGAAUGCAGCUCUAAAUGGGAGGUAAAUUUCUUCUAAAGCUAAAUACCGGCCAGAGACCGAUAGCGCACAAGUAGAGUGAUCGAAAGAUGAAAAGCACUUUGGAAAGAGAGUUAAAAAGUACGUGAAAUUGUUGAAAGGGAAGCGCUUGCAACCAGACUUGUCCGCAGUUGCUCAGCCGGUCUCCUGACCGGCGUACUCUUCUGCGGCCAGGCCAGCAUCAGUUCGGGCGGUCGGAUAAAGACCUCGGGAAUGUAGCUCCUCUCGGGGAGUGUUAUAGCCCGGGGUGGAAUGCGGCCAGCCUGGACUGAGGAUCUCGCUUCGGCAAGGAUGCUGGCGUAAUGGUUGUAAGCGGCCCGUCUUGAAACACGGACCAAGGAGUCUAACAUCUAUGCGAGUGUUUGGGUGUCAAACCCAUACGCGUAAUGAAAGUGAACGGAGGUGGGAACCCGCAAGGGUGCACCAUCGGCCGAUCCUGAUGUCUUCGGAUGGAUUUGAGCAAGAGCAUAGCUGUUGGGACCCGAAAGAUGGUGAACUAUGCCUGAAUAGGGUGAAGCCAGAGGAAACUCUGGUGGAGGCUCGCAGCGGUUCUGACGUGCAAAUCGAUCGUCAAAUUUGGGUAUAGGGGCGAAAGACUAAUCGAACCAU